Molecule: ribosomal RNA, 582 nt
Filed under: uncultured bacterium
Lineage: Bacteria
Description: bacterial SSU rRNA
Rfam family: Bacterial small subunit ribosomal RNA
Source: RNAcentral
ACGGGUGAGUAACACGUGGGUAACCUACCCUGGGGAUCGGGAUAACUGGCCGAAAGGCCCGCUAAUACCGGAUAAGACCACAUGGGCUCUGGCCCAAGAGGUCAAAGUCGGCCUCUCGACGAAGCCGACACCACAGGAUGGGCCCGCGGACCAUUAGCUAGUUGGUGAGGUAACGGCUCACCAAGGCCGAGAUGGUUAGCUGGUCUGAGAGGAUGAUCAGCCACACUGGAACUGAGAUACGGUCCAGACUCCUACGGGAGGCAGCAGUGAGGAAUAUUGCGCAAUGGGGGAAACCCUGACGCAGCAACGCCGCGUGGGUGAAGAAGGCUUUCGGGUUGUAAAGCCCUGUCAGGCGGGAAGAAACCUCUGUAGUCGAAUAGGCUGCAGAACUGACGGUACCGCCAAAGGAAGCACCGGCUAACUCCGUGCCAGCAGCCGCGGUAAGACGGAGGGUGCAAGCGUUGUUCGGAAUCACUGGGCGUAAAGCGCGUGUAGGCGGUCUGAUAAGUCGAGUGUGAAAGCCCGAGGCUCAACCUCGGAAGUGCAUUCGAAACUGUCAGGCUUGAGUACGGGAGAGGGAAG